RNAcentral lists this ribosomal RNA (619 nucleotides) under Pseudomonas sp. I12B-00773. RNAcentral's name for it is "bacterial SSU rRNA". It matches the Rfam family "Bacterial small subunit ribosomal RNA", at positions 97 to 712 of the family's 1533-position model. The record is from RNAcentral. Lineage: Bacteria; Pseudomonadati; Pseudomonadota; Gammaproteobacteria; Pseudomonadales; Pseudomonadaceae.
GGCGGACGGGUGAGUAAUGCCUAGGAAUCUGCCUAGUAGUGGGGGACAACGUUUCGAAAGGAACGCUAAUACCGCAUACGUCCUACGGGAGAAAGUGGGGGAUCUUCGGACCUCACGCUAUUAGAUGAGCCUAGGUCGGAUUAGCUAGUUGGUAGGGUAAAGGCCUACCAAGGCGACGAUCCGUAACUGGUCUGAGAGGAUGAUCAGUCACACUGGAACUGAGACACGGUCCAGACUCCUACGGGAGGCAGCAGUGGGGAAUAUUGGACAAUGGGCGAAAGCCUGAUCCAGCCAUGCCGCGUGUGUGAAGAAGGCCUUCGGGUCGUAAAGCACUUUAAGUUGGGAGGAAGGGCUCAUAGCGAAUACCUGUGAGUUUUGACGUUACCAACAGAAUAAGCACCGGCUAACUUCGUGCCAGCAGCCGCGGUAAUACGAAGGGUGCAAGCGUUAAUCGGAAUUACUGGGCGUAAAGCGCGCGUAGGUGGCUUGAUAAGUUGGAUGUGAAAUCCCCGGGCUCAACCUGGGAACUGCAUCCAAAACUGUCUGGCUAGAGUGCGGUAGAGGGUAGUGGAAUUUCCAGUGUAGCGGUGAAAUGCGUAGAUAUUGGAAGGAACACCAG